This 433-nucleotide ribosomal RNA is filed under the name uncultured bacterium. RNAcentral's name for it is "partial 16S ribosomal RNA". It matches the Rfam family "Bacterial small subunit ribosomal RNA", at positions 29 to 507 of the family's 1533-position model. The record is from RNAcentral.
AACGAACGCUGGCGGCAGGCCUAACACAUGCAAGUCGAGCGAGGACUUCGGUCCUAGCGGCGGACGGGUGAGUAACGCGUGGGAACGUGCCCUUCGCUUCGGAAUAGCCCUGGGAAACUGGGAGUAAUACCGGAUGAGCCCUUUGGGGGAAAGAUUUAUCGGCGAAGGAUCGGCCCGCGUUGGAUUAGGUAGUUGGUGGGGUAAUGGCCUACCAAGCCGACGAUCCAUAGCUGGUUUGAGAGGAUGAUCAGCCACACUGGGACUGAGACACGGCCCAGACUCCUACGGGAGGCAGCAGUGGGGAAUCUUAGACAAUGGGGGAAACCCUGAUCUAGCCAUGCCGCGUGAGCGAUGAAGGCCUUAGGGUUGUAAAGCUCUUUCAGCUGGGAAGAUAAUGACGGUACCAGCAGAAGAAGCCCCGGCUAACUCCGUG